GUGCUCGCUUAGGCAGCAUGCAUACUAAAAUUGGAACGAUACAGAGAAGAUUAUGGCCCCUGUGCAAGGAUGACACGCAAAUUUGUGAAGCGUUCCCCAUUUAA
This is a small nuclear RNA of Cercocebus atys (sooty mangabey), 104 nucleotides long. Lineage: Eukaryota; Metazoa; Chordata; Mammalia; Primates; Cercopithecidae. The record is from Ensembl.